GACGAACGCUGGCGGCGUGGAUUAGGCAUGCAAGUCGAACGGUAGGAUACCUUCGGGUAUCUGAGAGUGGCGAACGGGUGAGUAACACGUAGGUGAUCUACCCUCAAGAUUGGGACAACCCAGGGAAACUUGGGCUAAUACCGGAUGAAAGCAGCAGUGAUGUUGUUUGAAAGGUGGCGUAAGCUGCCGUUUGGGGAUGAGCCUGCGCUCUAUUAGUUAGUUGGCGGGGUAAAGGCCCACCAAGGCGAUGAUAGAUAGGCGGCCUUAACGGGUGGUCGCCCACACUGGGAUUGAGAUACGGCCCAGACUCCUACGGGAGGCAGCAGUCGAGAAUAGUCUACAAUGGCCGAAAGGCUGAUAGUGCGACGCCGCGUGAACGAAGAAGCCCUUCGGGUGUAAAGUCUUUUAUAUGUGAGCAGUGCUUUCUAUGUGAACAGCAUGGGGAGAGAGAUAUUAGCAUAUGAAUAAGCAACGGCUAACUCCGUGCCAGCACG
This 494-nucleotide ribosomal RNA is filed under the name uncultured bacterium. RNAcentral describes it as "bacterial SSU rRNA". It matches the Rfam family "Bacterial small subunit ribosomal RNA", at positions 28 to 515 of the family's 1533-position model. The record is from RNAcentral.